UCAUCAAGCUUGCUUUGAUGGAUGGCGACCGGCGCACGGGUGAGUAACACGUAUCCCCCCUGCCGACAACACUGGGAUAGCCUUUCGAAAGAAAGAUUCCUACCGGAUGGCAUAAUUAUUCCGCAUGGGAUAAUUAUUAAAGAAUUUCGGUUGUCGAUGGGGAUGCGUUCCAUUAGGCAGUUGGCGGGGUAACGGCCCACCAAACCAACGAUGGAUAGGGGUUCUGAGAGGAAGGUCCCCCACAUUGGAACUGAGACACGGUCCAAACUCCUACGGGAGGCAGCAGUGAGGAAUAUUGGUCAAUGGACGAGAGUCUGAACCAGCCAAGUAGCGUGAAGGAUGACUGCCCUAUGGGUUGUAAACUUCUUUUAUACGGGAAUAAAGUUAGCCACGUGUGGCUUUUUGUAUGUACCGUAUGAAUAAGGAUCGGCUAACUCCGUGCCAGCAGCCGCGGUAAUACGGAGGAUCCGAGCGUUAUCCGGAUUUAUUGGGUUUAAAGGGAGCGUAGAUGGAUGUUUAAGUCAGUUGUGAAAGUUUGCGGCUCAACCGUAAAAUUGCAGUUGAUACUGGAUAUCUUGAGUGCAGUUGAGGCAGGCGGAAUUCGUGGUGUAGCGGUGAAAUGCUUAGAUAUCACGAAGAACUCCGAUUG
RNAcentral lists this ribosomal RNA (649 nucleotides) under uncultured Bacteroides sp. RNAcentral describes it as "bacterial SSU rRNA". It matches the Rfam family "Bacterial small subunit ribosomal RNA", at positions 71 to 715 of the family's 1533-position model. Lineage: Bacteria; Pseudomonadati; Bacteroidota; Bacteroidia; Bacteroidales; Bacteroidaceae. The record is from RNAcentral.